This is an RNA transcript of Equus quagga, 3319 nucleotides long. It is a transcript of the gene named saoe class I histocompatibility antigen, A alpha chain-like, with no coding region annotated. NCBI's taxonomy places the organism in Eukaryota, Metazoa, Chordata, Mammalia, Perissodactyla, Equidae. The transcript is spliced from 7 exons. The record is from RefSeq and is a predicted model, not a curated record.
CCGGGUUUUUACAACCGCACUGAUCAGCCGGGACUCAGAUUCUCCCCAGAUGGCGAGGAUCCCUGUUAUGGCGCCUCGAACCCUCCUCCUGCUGCUCUCGGGGGCCCUGACCCUGACCGAGACCUGGGCGGGCUCCCACUCCCUGAGGUAUUUCCUCACCGGCGUGUCCCGGCCCGGCCGCGGGGAGCCCCGCUUCAUCGCCGUCGGCUACGUGGACGACACGCAGUUCGAGCGGUUCGACAGCGACGCCGCGAGUCCGAGGGUGGAGCCGCGGGCGCCUUGGAUGGAGCAGGUGGGGCCGGAGUAUUGGGAAGAGCAGACGCUGCUCGCCAAGGACGUAGCACAGACUUUCCGAGUGGACCUGAACAUCCUGCGCGGCUUAUACAACCAGAGCGAGGCUGGGUCUCACACUCUCCAGGUGUUGUAUGGCUGCGACGCGGGGCCGGAGGGGCGCCUACUCCGCGGGUACAGACAGUCCGCCUACGACGGCGCCGAUUACAUCGCCCUGAACGAGGACCUGCGCUCCUGGACCGCGGCGGACGCAGUGGCUCAGAUCACCAAGCGCAAGUGGGAGGUGGAAGGUGAGGCGGAGCAAGAAAGGAACUACCUGGAAGGCAGGUGCGUGAAGUGGCUCCUGAGACACCUGGAGAACGGGAAGGAGACGCUGCAGCGCGCGGGCGCCCCGAAGACACAUGUGACCCACCACCCCAUCUCUGACCAUGAGGUCACCCUGAGAUGCUGGGCCCUGGACUUCUACCCUGCGGAGAUCACCCUGACCUGGCAGCGUGACGGGGAGGACCUGACACAGGACAUGGAGCUUGUGGAGACCAGGCCUGCAGGGGAUGGGACCUUCCAGAAGUGGGCGGCUGUGGUGGUACCUUCUGGGGAGGAGCAGAGCUACAUGUGCCUUGUGCAGCACAAGGGGCUGCCUGAGCCCCUCACCCUGAGAUGGGAGCCGCCUCCUGAGGCCACCAUCAUCGUGGGCGUCAUUGCUGGCCUGGGUCUCUUUGUGGUCACUGGCGCUGCAGUAGCUGGAGCUGUGAUCUGGAGGAAGAAGCGUUCUGGUAGGGAAGGGGAUGGAGAAUCUGAAUUUUCUUCUCCCACUGACGGAUUUCAAGCCCCAGGUAGAGGUUGCCCUGCCUUGUUAAUGGGAAGUACCAUCCACACACAUGUAUUUGCCACUCUGGAGCUGAUUGGUAACACUCUUAUUAAAGCACUGGUGAAAAUGACAGAAAGAUUUUUUCACCUGGAUAAUUCUGGGCUGGGGACCUGAUUCCCAGCAGUCGAAGGUCAGAGGGGAGGGUCCCUGCUGAGGACAGACCUCCAGGAGGGCAUUUGAUCCAGUCUUCACACAUCUCCUUUCUUCGUGUUUCCCCUUCCUGCCGUGGGUCUUCAGUCAUGGUUCUGGAAACUUCCCUGUGGUCCAGGUCUUGGGGGUUGCUCUAGGAUCUCAUGGCUCAGCCUUCUCCCUGUUUUCUUCCCAUGGGUGAAAAAAGAGGGGGCUGUGCUCAGGCUGCAAGUAAGUUUCUGUAGGGAAUUGAUCCCUGAGACCCUUCAGAUGUGUAGACGGAGCCCAUGGGGGGAGCUCACCCAGCCCAUUGUUCCUCCUUUAGUCUCAUCUCCUGUGGGCUCUGACCCCAUCCUAUUUUGUCCUACCCAGGCAGUGACAGUGCCCAGGGCUCUGAUGUGUCUCUCAUGGAUCCUAAAGUGUGAGACAGCUUCCUUGUGGGGGACUGAGUGAUGCAAGAUUUGUUCACACUUCCUCUUUGUGACUUCAAGAACCCUGACUUCUCUUUCUGCACUGGACCUGUGAUCACAGGGAUGAGGACAUCACCUGGACCUUGUCCUGUCUCCAGGACCAUUGGCAGUGAGGGCUUCAUGUGGCCAGGUCAGUCUAGACACAGGCCAGGGCCCAGCCCUCAGGCCUUGCAUUUUGUUUGUUUAUAUUUGGGUUUUGGAGGGUUUUUUUUAUUGUUAACUCCCUUUUCACGUUUCAAGUUCUGGUCUCAUUCUCCUCUGGGUGUCCCCCAUAUCUGACAGCAGCAGGAGUCGUUUGGCCUGUCAUUGUCCCCACGAGGUCCAGGGUGGCCGCUGCACACAGGAGAUUCUUUGGUAUCGAGAGAGAAAUUUUCAGACUCAUCCAACUCUUACCCUCUUUCUAAGGUUGUUUCCUGGAUUUUUCUUUCUACCUUUUCUCCUUUUAAAAGAAGCAGAUUCUAGAAUUACAACAGAGGAGGGAUCUGAUAGUUUCUUAUCUUAGAUAAAUUCCUGUUGGGUUUCUGUCUUCUCUGCAGCCUGCCCCAUCUCUUUGCCCUUAGCUCUAGUCAUCCUAGUGCUGGCUCUGAUCCAAACUGAUGCAUUUAUAAAUUUGAGUGUACUUUAGAUUCAUAGUUGCUUGGAAAAUAGGACCCAUAGCCUAAGAUUGUCCUUUCUAAGGAGAGAAAUAUAGUUGUGUGUGUGAGUGUGCAGGAGGGCGGCUGUGGGAGGGAGAGAGGAGAGAGCAGCACUUGUGAGAAAAGUACAGGCCACAUUCCUGUCAGUGUGAGAGGAGGUUGUGCUGUAGCUGCCACAAAACAGCGUGUGACCUGAGGUUACGUUAAUAAAGAUACUGUCUCUAGAAUACGGAGGUGCUGUACACUCAUCAUUCAUUCAACUGAUGAUUGCUGUUUCCCAUAUAUAUGAGAAAUUCUUUUUGUACCUAGAAAACUUCAGUGAACUAAAAACAGGCAAAAAUUUCCGGCCUUGGGGAGCAUGUGUUCCAGUGGGGAGGGGCAGACUGUAUGCUGUAAGCAUAGUAAAUACGGGAAGUGUUUAUGUGAGAAGUUGUAAGUGCUUUGAGAAAGGCAACUCAUAGUAUAAGUUUGUGGGAACAAGAAGGAUGGCUGUUUUACUAGGAUGGUCAAUGUGGGCCUCAUUGGGAAGGUGACUUUGAGUAAAGACUUGAAGGGUGUGAUUUGUGCACAGGGAUGUCUCAGGAAGUCGUUUGCAGGCAGGGGAACCUCCAGUGCAAAUGCAUUAGAGCAGGAGUGUGUCUGUGUGUUCUGGGAAAAGUGAGGAGGCCGGUGUGGCUGGAGCAGAGAAUAUUGAGAUGAGAUAGACAUGUGGCCAGACCAUGUAGGUCUGGAGGAUGUUGGAAGGUUUUAACCUCUUGUUGAGGAAGAUGAACAGAAGGUCAACCUGUUGUGACUUGAGAAGCAUCACUCUGGUGCUGUGCGGAGUCAAGAGGUGAACAGAGAGCAGCCAGUGGAGAAAACUGUAGGAAACCAGUGCCGUGUUCCAGGCUAGAGAUGUUACUUGCUUUGUCUGGGGUGUGAGCAGG